This 254-nucleotide ribosomal RNA is filed under the name uncultured bacterium. RNAcentral describes it as "partial 16S ribosomal RNA". It matches the Rfam family "Bacterial small subunit ribosomal RNA", at positions 524 to 776 of the family's 1533-position model. The record is from RNAcentral.
UACGAAGGGGGCUAGCGUUGCUCGGAAUCACUGGGCGUAAAGCGCCCGUAGGCGGGUUGCCAAGUCGGGGGUGAAAUCCUGGAGCUCAACUCCAGAACUGCCUUCGAUACUGGCGAUCUUGGAGUCCGGGAGAGGUGAGUGGAACUGCGAGUGGAGAGGUGAAAUUCGGAGAUAGGCGCAAGAACACCAGUGGCGAAGGCGGCUCACUGGCCCGGUACUGACGCUGAGGUGCGAAAGCGUGGGGAGCAAACAGG